This 24-nucleotide non-coding RNA is filed under the name Arabidopsis thaliana (thale cress). The record is from RNAcentral. Lineage: Eukaryota; Viridiplantae; Streptophyta; Magnoliopsida; Brassicales; Brassicaceae.
GGUAGCUGGAGAUGGUGUCCAUCC